RNAcentral lists this ribosomal RNA (826 nucleotides) under uncultured bacterium. Its description in RNAcentral is "bacterial SSU rRNA". It matches the Rfam family "Bacterial small subunit ribosomal RNA", at positions 51 to 890 of the family's 1533-position model. The record is from RNAcentral.
ACACAUGCAAGUCGAACGAGAGAGAGGGAGCUUGCUUCCUUGAUCGAGUGGCGAACGGGUGAGUAACGCGUGAGGAACCUGCCUCAAAGAGGGGGACAACAGUUGGAAACGACUGCUAAUACCGCAUAAGCCCACGACCCGGCAUCGGGAAGAGGGAAAAGGAGCAAUCCGCUUUGAGAUGGCCUCGCGUCCGAUUAGCUAGUUGGUGAGGUAAUGGCCCACCAAGGCGACGAUCGGUAGCCGGACUGAGAGGUUGAACGGCCACAUUGGGACUGAGACACGGCCCAGACUCCUACGGGAGGCAGCAGUGGGGAAUAUUGCACAAUGGGGGAAACCCUGAUGCAGCGACGCCGCGUGGAGGAAGAAGGUCUUCGGAUUGUAAACUCCUGUUGUUGAGGAAGAUAAUGACGGUACUCAACAAGGAAGUGACGGCUAACUACGUGCCAGCAGCCGCGGUAAAACGUAGGUCACAAGCGUUGUCCGGAAUUACUGGGUGUAAAGGGAGCGCAGGCGGGCGAUCAAGUUGGAAGUGAAAUCCAUGGGCUCAACCCAUGAACUGCUUUCAAAACUGGUCGUCUUGAGUAGUGCAGAGGUAGGCGGAAUUCCCGGUGUAGCGGUGGAAUGCGUAGAUAUCGGGAGGAACACCAGUGGCGAAGGCGGCCUACUGGGCACCAACUGACGCUGAGGCUCGAAAGUGUGGGUAGCAAACAGGAUUAGAUACCCUGGUAGUCCACACCGUAAACGAUGAUUACUAGGUGUUGGGAGAUUGACCCUCUCAGUGCCGCAGUUAACACAAUAAGUAAUCCACCUGGGGAGUACGACCGCA